RNAcentral lists this long non-coding RNA (239 nucleotides) under Gallus gallus (chicken). Lineage: Eukaryota; Metazoa; Chordata; Aves; Galliformes; Phasianidae. The record is from RNAcentral.
GGAAAAAGUAGCCUUUAAUCAUUGCAAAUGUGGAAACCACAUAUCCCAGGAUAUUGGCACACCACAGGAGAGGAAUCCAAUUGUCAAAAAUGAUAGUAGGUGAGAAGUAGUGGAAAUAGUAGGCAUUUGCAAACCAAAGUACAUGGGUAAUGAUCCAAGCUUGGAGUCCAUUGAUUUCAUACUUAUUUACUACACCAGCAGGAGUGACAGCACCUUCUUGUACACCUCCUACAUAUCCG